Manis javanica (Malayan pangolin) is the source of this 362-nucleotide non-coding RNA. NCBI's taxonomy places the organism in Eukaryota, Metazoa, Chordata, Mammalia, Pholidota, Manidae. The record is from RefSeq and is a predicted model, not a curated record.
CAGGUGGGCAGUUCCUCCACGUUCUGCCUGGAGUCAGCGUGUGGCCCAGCAGCCCAACUCCUGGAUGUCAGCUCGGGGGAACCAAGCGCAUGCUGUGUCCACGAAGAAACUUGGCGUGUGUGGUUGCGGUGGCCCCAAAGUGGACACAACCCAAAUGUGUGCAUCAGCUGGUGUGCGGUGACCGCCGGUGGAGCAGCGUUUCCUCGGGGUUGACCAUGAUCCUCUAAAGCCAGCGGGGACGUAUGGACCUACCGAAGAUCCGAGUUUCUGACCUACGUCAUUUUCUUGGGAGAUACGAGAUAAGAUCUGCAAUCCCUCAGGACCUGCCGCCCAUUCUGUGCUGCUCUGAAGCCGCAGGAGGU